GGAGGAUUAGCUCAGUUGGGAGAGCAUCUGCCUUACAAGCAGAGGGUCGGCGGUUCGAGCCCGUCAUCCUCCACCA
This 76-nucleotide transfer RNA is filed under the name Bacillus amyloliquefaciens. RNAcentral's name for it is "tRNA-Val". It matches the Rfam family "tRNA". Rfam says of the family: Transfer RNA (tRNA) molecules are approximately 80 nucleotides in length. Their secondary structure includes four short double-helical elements and three loops (D, anti-codon, and T loops). Lineage: Bacteria; Bacillati; Bacillota; Bacilli; Caryophanales; Bacillaceae. RNAcentral also lists the same sequence under 27 other names. The record is from RNAcentral.